ACACUUUGGUUUCUCUUCAGCACGCACAAGCAUUUUGUCCUUUUACUUAAGACUUCCGUGGAGAGGAACAUCAUGAGUAUCAACCCAUUUUUUGAUGCCCUUCUCAGGCGGGGCU
Molecule: small nuclear RNA, 115 nt
Organism: Hypomesus transpacificus
Lineage: Eukaryota; Metazoa; Chordata; Actinopteri; Osmeriformes; Osmeridae
Product: U5 spliceosomal RNA
Exons: 1
Source: RefSeq, a predicted model, not a curated record